RNAcentral lists this small RNA (27 nucleotides) under Bombyx mori (domestic silkworm). Its description in RNAcentral is "ovarian small RNA-36194". The record is from RNAcentral. Lineage: Eukaryota; Metazoa; Arthropoda; Insecta; Lepidoptera; Bombycidae.
UGUUGUAUAUGUAUUGUGGCAUGCCUU